RNAcentral lists this transfer RNA (72 nucleotides) under Camelus ferus (Wild Bactrian camel). It matches the Rfam family "tRNA". Rfam says of the family: Transfer RNA (tRNA) molecules are approximately 80 nucleotides in length. Their secondary structure includes four short double-helical elements and three loops (D, anti-codon, and T loops). Lineage: Eukaryota; Metazoa; Chordata; Mammalia; Artiodactyla; Camelidae. The record is from Rfam by way of RNAcentral.
UGAGGGAUGGCUCAGUGGUAAAGUGUGUGCUUAGCAAGCAUGAGGUCCUGGGCUCAAUCCCCAGUACCUCCA